This 468-nucleotide ribosomal RNA is filed under the name uncultured bacterium. Its description in RNAcentral is "partial 16S ribosomal RNA". It matches the Rfam family "Bacterial small subunit ribosomal RNA", at positions 28 to 507 of the family's 1533-position model. The record is from RNAcentral.
GACGAACGCUGGCGGCGUGCUUAACACAUGCAAGUCGAACGGAAAGGCCCUGCUUUUGUGGGGUGCUCGAGUGGCGAACGGGUGAGUUACACGUGAGUAACCUGCCCUUUACUUUGGGAUAACUUCAGGAAACUGUGGCUAAUACCGGAUAGGAGCUCCUGCUGCAUGGUGGGGGUUGGAAAGUUUCGGCGGUUGGGGAUGGACUCGCGGCUUAUCAGCUUGUUGGUGGGGUAGUGGCUUACCAAGGCUUUGACGGGUAGCCGGCCUGAGAGGGUGACCGGCCACAUUGGGACUGAGAUACGGCCCAGACGCCAACGGGAGGCAGCGGUGGGGAAUAUUGCACAAUGGGCGGAAGCCUGAUGCAGCAACGCCGCGUGCGGGAUGAGGGCCUGCGGGUUGUAAACCGCUUUCGCCUGAGACGAAGCGUGAAUGACGGUAAUGGGUAAAGAAGCACCGGCUAACUACGUG